RNAcentral lists this ribosomal RNA (658 nucleotides) under uncultured Bacteroides sp. RNAcentral describes it as "bacterial SSU rRNA". It matches the Rfam family "Bacterial small subunit ribosomal RNA", at positions 59 to 714 of the family's 1533-position model. The record is from RNAcentral. Lineage: Bacteria; Pseudomonadati; Bacteroidota; Bacteroidia; Bacteroidales; Bacteroidaceae.
AAGGGGGCGCAUUGGGGGUAGCAUACUUCAGAUGGCGACCGGCGCACGGGUGAGUAACACGUAUCCAACCUGUCGCUUACUCGGGGAUAGCCUUUCGAAAGAAAGAUUAAUACCCGAUGGUAUAAAGAGUUCGCAUGUUCUCUUUAUUAAAGAAUUUCGGUAAGCGAUGGGGAUGCGUUCCAUUAGAUAGUUGGCGGGGUAACGGCCCACCAAGUCUACGAUGGAUAGGGGUUCUGAGAGGAAGGUCCCCCACAUUGGAACUGAGACACGGUCCAAACUCCUACGGGAGGCAGCAGUGAGGAAUAUUGGUCAAUGGACGAGAGUCUGAACCAGCCAAGUAGCGUGAAGGAUGACUGCCCUAUGGGUUGUAAACUUCUUUUAUAAGGGAAUAAAGUGAGGGACGUGUCCCUUUUUGUAUGUACCUUAUGAAUAAGGAUCGGCUAACUCCGUGCCAGCAGCCGCGGUAAUACGGAGGAUCCAAGCGUUAUCCGGAUUUAUUGGGUUUAAAGGGAGCGUAGGUUGACAUAUAAGUCAGCUGUGAAAGUUUACGGCUCAACCGUGAAAUUGCAGUUGAUACUGUAUGUCUUGAGUGUACAAGAGGUGGGCGGAAUUCGUGGUGUAGCGGUGAAAUGCUUAGAUAUCACGAAGAACUCCGAUG